This 980-nucleotide ribosomal RNA is filed under the name Arthrobacter sp. Its description in RNAcentral is "bacterial SSU rRNA". It matches the Rfam family "Bacterial small subunit ribosomal RNA", at positions 89 to 1081 of the family's 1533-position model. Lineage: Bacteria; Bacillati; Actinomycetota; Actinomycetes; Micrococcales; Micrococcaceae. The record is from RNAcentral.
GGAUUAGUGGCGAACGGGUGAGUAACACGUGAGUAACCUGCCCUUGACUCUGGGAUAAGCCUGGGAAACUGGGUCUAAUACCGGAUACGACCNUCUGGCGCAUGUCAUGGUGGUGGAAAGCUUUUGUGGUUUUGGAUGGACUCGCGGCCUAUCAGCUUGUUGGUGGGGUAAUGGCCUACCAAGGCGACGACGGGUAGCCGGCCUGAGAGGGUGACCGGCCACACUGGGACUGAGACACGGCCCAGACUCCUACGGGAGGCAGCAGUGGGGAAUAUUGCACAAUGGGCGCAAGCCUGAUGCAGCGACGCCGCGUGAGGGAUGACGGCCUUCGGGUUGUAAACCUCUUUCAGUAGGGAAGAAGCGAAAGUGACGGUACCUGCAGAAGAAGCGCCGGCUAACUACGUGCCAGCAGCCGCGGUAAUACGUAGGGCGCAAGCGUUAUCCGGAAUUAUUGGGCGUAAAGAGCUCGUAGGCGGUUUGUCGCGUCUGCUGUGAAAGACCGGGGCUCAACUCCGGUUCUGCAGUGGGUACGGGCAGACUAGAGUGCAGUAGGGGAGACUGGAAUUCCUGGUGUAGCGGUGAAAUGCGCAGAUAUCAGGAGGAACACCGAUGGCGAAGGCAGGUCUCUGGGCUGUAACUGACGCUGAGGAGCGAAAGCAUGGGGAGCGAACAGGAUUAGAUACCCUGGUAGUCCAUGCCGUAAACGUUGGGCACUAGGUGUGGGGGACAUUCCACGUUUUCCGCGCCGUAGCUAACGCAUUAAGUGCCCCGCCUGGGGAGUACGGCCGCAAGGCUAAAACUCAAAGGAAUUGACGGGGGCCCGCACAAGCGGCGGAGCAUGCGGAUUAAUUCGAUGCAACGCGAAGAACCUUACCAAGGCUUGACAUGAACCGGAAAGACCUGGAAACAGGUGCCCCGCUUGCGGUCGGUUUACAGGUGGUGCAUGGYUGUCGUCAGCUCGUGUCGUGAGAUGUUGGGUU